AGGGAACUGAUGAGGAUUGGUGGCUCUUUACGAAACCUAGGUAUUAUCUCUCUGCAUGUUAAUUUGUAAACACUCUACCAGUCGUGGAGUUAAAGAUAGGGUCGGAAUAGGAGGCUAUUGUUUGUAGAAAUCUUUACGAAAUACUUAGUUAUUGAAUUUGCAAUUACAGGUCGCCACAAAAAGAUCAAUCGACACGUAAUUUUGCGUUGAUGUUAAGGUCAGACUGUGGAGAUAUUCGUGAAACAUUAAGUGGAUGAAAUGGACCAUAAACUGACAUUUUUUACAAAUGUUAGAGUCACUGUACAGCUGUCAAUUAUAGACCAAUCGACUGGUAAUCUUGCAUGGUUGUUAACGACAGGACAGAAGUUUGAUAUAUUUGGAGUGACAUUGGAUACUAUUUUGAGGGUGCAAUGGAUCAUAAUCAAAACCAAAAUUUCUAUUUAACCGUGAAUAUUUUGAAUGCUGAAUGUUACUUCCAGGUGUAAUUACAUAGAUACGGAAAGGACCGCUCCGUCGUUACAUUAAUACUGAUUUUGUUGAGGUAUAUAGCAAAAUAUCGGAGAAUUAUCGAAAUUUUCAAAUAUAAUUUGAGUCCCUAGUAGCACAUCAGAGAGCAUAACUACAGGCCAAUUGUGACAUCAUUUCGUAUGGUUACGUGACUCCGCUCAAAAUCCAAGAUAACAACUUUGUUUCUCAAUAUGACAUUGUUUCAAUAAUGAUAUUGACAAAAAAACAUACAUAUUGACUGGUUGUUACUUAUGAUUUGAAAAGAUUUUGAAUGUAAAAUCUAUGAUCUUUCCACUGAAAUCAAUUUCGGUGAUGUAAUUUUGGGGGGAAAUAACAGUUCCAUAUUUAUAGGGUGUCCCAACUGGAAUGCAAAAAUAAAAAUGGAAAUUGGUAUCGUGAAAUUAUAAUCAGUUUUUUUCGUGUCUAGAAUUUAAGAAAUGAAUGUGGAGGGUAUGUCGUUGCACCAAGAGGGCAUCACAUUUGAUACAGCCAGGGAGACAAUUCAAUUGUUGCAUCAGUGGUCGUGUUAUUUCGUAUUUAGGAGACCAACAGAUAAUUGGACGCUGCUGAAAUUGGACGCUAUGUAAAACGGACAUUGAAAAUUUCAUUAAAAGAUCAAGUGUGUGCCAUCAAAGUCGCGGCGGCCAUCUGCACGAUGCUCGUUCUAUACAUAACCUCAUUGUCUGCCUACUUAACUGUGUAAUUAAAUUUAAAAAUUGCAUUCUAGUUGGGAUUAUUCGAAAGGAAUGUAACAACCGUAUUCCACGAAAAUAGCUAUGUUUGUCGUUAAGCGCCGUUGCCGGUAUGCUGGCGUAUAGCGCGGCUAUGACUCGUCGGAUCGGAGGUUGGUUCUUGCCACCUUUUAGACUUUUUCGGUUGAACAAAAAUGUUGCCCCUCGUUGGGCGCCAUUUAAGUGGUGUUGCCGGUAUGCUGGCGUAUAGCGCGGCUAUGGCUCGUCGGAUCGGGGGUUGGUUCUUGCCAAUUUUCAGACUUUUUCGGCUGAACAAAAAAAAAAAAAUCAUAUCGGACUCGCAAAAUCAAAUUAAAUUGGGUUAAAGGAACCAGAAACAUGUGAAAGAAAGAAAACAAAAGGACAUUCACCAAAUAUUACACUAAAUCCCAAACUUACUUUAACUAUCACCACAGAAACAGUGCCAAAUUUAAUACAAAAUCUAAUAUUUUUCCUUUCCCCUUUUCAUAUUUUAGGUUGCGAUGGCGGACGAUAAAAAGUAGGGAACAAUAAAGGCAGCUAAUAUUUGCGGUUCUUCCCAACAAGAAAGGACAAACAAAGGAGGGAAAUCACAUAAAAUCGAUGAACUAAACGAACUAAAAGCCUGGUUACCUAACCUUGAAGAGAGCUCUGUUCAACGUCGUGGUGCUGCAUAUUAAACAAAAAGGAAAAUCGCGGAAUUUAACUAUUUAGCUUCGUCGUCCGUCUGUCUGUUCGGAGUUUAUAGUAACAAAUGUCGAUUGGGGAUACCAAGCCACGCUGGUUUAACGAUGGCAUAAAAACUGCGCCUGGAUUGCAUGGGCGAUGGUGUGGCUCGUAUGCUCGAAUUCUUCUUUUGGAUCUUUAUGUAUAAGAGUUAUUUCUUUGCUUUAGAUAUUAAUUUUAUUGUUUUGUUUUCAAAUUUUGUUAAAUUGUUUCCAAAUUUAAUUUCAUUAAAUUUAAUUUCAAAAAAAGUUCAA
Musca domestica (house fly) is the source of this 2197-nucleotide long non-coding RNA. RefSeq lists it as uncharacterized. The record is from RefSeq and is a predicted model, not a curated record. Lineage: Eukaryota; Metazoa; Arthropoda; Insecta; Diptera; Muscidae. The transcript has 3 exons.